UACGGAGGGGGCUAGCGUUGUUCGGAAUUACUGGGCGUAAAGCGCACGUAGGCGGAUCAGUCAGUCAGGGGUGAAAUCCCGGGGCUCAACCCCGGAACUGCCUUUGAUACUGCUGGUCUUGAGGUCGAGAGAGGUGAGUGGAAUUCCGAGUGUAGAGGUGAAAUUCGUAGAUAUUCGGAGGAACACCAGUGGCGAAGGCGGCUCACUGGCUCGAUACUGACGCUGAGGUGCGAAAGCGUGGGGAGCAAACAGG
Molecule: ribosomal RNA, 253 nt
Filed under: uncultured bacterium
Lineage: Bacteria
Description: partial 16S ribosomal RNA
Rfam family: Bacterial small subunit ribosomal RNA
Source: RNAcentral